AUCCACCAGCAUAAAAUUCAUCUUUAAAAGAGUUCAAAUUCACAACUAAUGUGCAAACUUCAUUCAUGCAUAGACAAUUAACUGAUACAACCCCUUUCUGUCAGGAAAAACAUUAGGCAAUCAGGACAAGAUAUUGAUUGUAUUGGCAAGAAACAAAAUAACAAACACAACUUUCACGGUUCUGAAGAUCCUGCACUGCUGAGUUAUUACUAGUACAGCCCAUAUAAGAAAAGAGCACACAUCAUGAACAUUAGCAUGUAAGAUGGACCGAUCCCUUAAAAUCAAAUACAUUGAAUUUUCAUAUACAUUUGCCCAUAAGUCAAAAGAAUCAGCUACUUGACCAGAUAUAGCCCACACAGAUCUCCACUGCCCAAUGCCCAUGAUUCAGGAUACAAUGAUGAAAACUUCUGAAAAUAAUAAGUUUAAAAACAUUACACUGUCUAAAGAAGAAAACAAAUCUGACAGCCUUUUGUAACUUCUUCCUUCAAAAUACUUUACCAAUUGAAAUAACGUAUAGAAAUCUUUAGCAUGCAGGUGAAUGGUGAUUCCUGAUUACAAUUACCUAGCAUUUGAAAUUGGAUGGAGGAAUUUGAAAUGUGAAAUUCAAAUUUGAUGAUUCAUAAAUUUUCUUUUAUUGAUUAGUGUCAUAAAUUUAGAUUAAGUUCAUAAAUAUGGAACCAAUCAUAUUUGAGAGUAAGUUCAAAAUGUCCUUUGAAAAGGAAUCAUUUGCAAUCCAUGUCAAAUGAAUUCUCAACCACAUCCAUUAAUCUAACUUAGUAAACAACGAGUCAACUCAUUGAAAUAAUUUAAACUUAAAUUAAAGUUAUGAAACUCAAAUAUCUUAUUUCAAAUCAUUGCGUCCAAACAUAUAUAGCAUAAUGUAACUUUUGACUGAUUUCACUUGCAAGGAGACAACAGUUUAAAGAUGACUAUUAUGUCCCAGUAGAGAGUGAAAUAUGUCUAAUAACAUAUUAGUCAUAUUUGUUCACUAAUGUAUCCACAAUUUGUUAGUUAUAUUUCACGGACCUUAUGAGCAGUUCCUAGAGUUAUUUUUGAUCUUCCACUCAUCAGAGAUCACAAGGAGGGAGUAUAAUGCUUUUACCUUCACUAGAGGAAGCAAUGUUUGAAACACUAUUAUCUGCCUCCGAACCAUUCGCACUGCCAUUAUCCAAUUCAACAU
This 1180-nucleotide unclassified non-coding RNA is filed under the name Hevea brasiliensis (rubber tree). The record is from RNAcentral. Lineage: Eukaryota; Viridiplantae; Streptophyta; Magnoliopsida; Malpighiales; Euphorbiaceae.